UCCAGACUCCUACGGGAGGCAGCAGUGGGGGAUAUUGCACAAUGGGGGGAACCCUGAUGCAGCGACGCCGCGUGGGUGAAGGAGCGUUUCGGCGCGUAAAGCCCUCUCGGCAGGGAAGAAGGAGGACGGUACCUGACUAAGAAGCCCCGGCUAACUACGUGCCAGCAGCCGCGGUAAUACGUAGGGGGCAAGCGUUAUCCGGAUUUACUGGGUGUAAAGGGGGCGCAGACGGCAGCGCAAGCCAGGAGUGAAAGCCCGGGGCCCAACCCCGGGACUGCUCUUGGAACUGCGUGGCUGGAGUGCAGGAGGGGCAGGCGGAAUUCCUGGUGUAGCGGUGAAAUGCGUAGAUAUCAGGAGGAACACCGGUGGCGAAGGCGGCCUGCUGGACUGCAACUGACGUUGAGGCCCGAAAGCGUGGGGAGCAAACAGGAUUAGAUACCCCGGUAC
Molecule: ribosomal RNA, 447 nt
Filed under: uncultured bacterium
Lineage: Bacteria
Description: partial 16S ribosomal RNA
Rfam family: Bacterial small subunit ribosomal RNA
Source: RNAcentral